This 216-nucleotide long non-coding RNA is filed under the name Gallus gallus (chicken). Lineage: Eukaryota; Metazoa; Chordata; Aves; Galliformes; Phasianidae. The record is from RNAcentral.
GUUGUAUUUGGCAAUACACACCUGUUUACUGAAAUCCAUUGCUGCCUUUUCUGACUCAAACAUAAUUGACCAGUUUUGUCUUUGAUCAUCAUAGAAUGUGCUGUAAUUGUUGGACUGGACCGUGAGUACAAAGCCUGGGUGGAUCCUUGCAGAUGUGAUCUGUUGCUGCUGACUGAUGUAAAGGAGAAUCCUGUACUCUUUAGUAGCAUGGCUCCC